CGCUCCGGUGGCCUAGUGGUUAGAGCGUCCGCUUUGGAAGCGGGAAGUCGCGGGUUCGAUUCGAUCCCCGGCUGAGUUA
Non-coding RNA from Potamilus streckersoni, 79 nucleotides. Lineage: Eukaryota; Metazoa; Mollusca; Bivalvia; Unionida; Unionidae. The record is from the annotation of a GenBank genome assembly.